AUGCUGACAUGAGUAGCGAUAAAGGGGGUGAAAGGCCCCCUCGCCGUAAGCCCAAGGUUUCCUACGCAACGUUCAUCGGCGUAGGGUGAGUCGGCCCCUAAGGCGAGGCAGAAAUGCGUAGCUGAUGGGAAGCAGGUUAAUAUUCCUGCACCAUUGUUAAAUGCGAUGGGGGGACGGAUCGCGGAAGGUUGUCCGGGUGUUGGAAGUCCCGGUCGCUGCGUUGGAGAAGGCACUCAGGCAAAUCCGGGUGCGUAAUUCAAGGGCGUGGCGCCAUUCACUUCGGUGAAGAAGCAAUCGGAAGUGGUUCCAAGAAAAGCCUCUAAGCUUCAGUUUAACAGGACCGUACCGCAAACCGACACAGGUGGGCGAGAUGAGUAUUCUAAGGCGCUUGAGAGAACUCGGGAGAAGGAACUCGGCAAAUUGGUACCGUAACUUCGGGAUAAGGUACGCCCCUGUAGCCUGACUGGCCUGCGCCAGAAGGGUGAAGGGGUUGCAAUAAACUGGUGGCUGCGACUGUUUAAUAAAAACACAGCACUCUGCAAACACGAAAGUGGACGUAUAGGGUGUGACGCCUGCCCGGUGCCGGAAGAUUAAAUGAUGGGGUGCAAGCUCUUGAUUGAAGUCCCGGUAAACGGCGGCCGUAACUAUAACGGUCCUAAGGUAGCGAAAUUCCUUGUCGGGUAAGUUCCGACCUGCACGAAUGGCGUAACGAUGGCCACACUGUCUCCUCCCGAGACUCAGCGAAGUUGAAGUGUUUGUGAUGAUGCAAUCUCCCCGCGGCUAGACGGAAAGACCCCAUGAACCUUUACUGUAGCUUUGCAUUGGACUUUGAACCGGUCUGUGUAGGAUAGGUGGGAGGCUUUGAAGCGUGGACGCCAGUCUGCGUGGAGCCAACCUUGAAAUACCACCCUGGUUUGUUUGAGGUUCUAACCUUGGUCCGUAAUCCGGAUCGGGGACAGUGCAUGGUAGGCAGUUUGACUGGGGCGGUCUCCUCCCAAAGUGUAACGGAGGAGUACGAAGGUACGCUAGGUACGGUCGGAAAUCGUGCUGAUAGUGCAAUGGCAUAAGCGUGCUUAACUGCGAGACCGACAAGUCGAGCAGGUGCGAAAGCAGGUCAUAGUGAUCCGGUGGUUCUGUAUGGAAGGGCCAUCGCUCAACGGAUAAAAGGUACUCUGGGGAUAACAGGCUGAUACCGCCCAAGAGUUCAUAUCGACGGCGGUGUUUGGCACCUCGAUGUCGGCUCAUCUCAUCCUGGGGCUGUAGCCGGUCCCAAGGGUAUGGCUGUUCGCCAUUUAAAGAGGUACGUGAGCUGGGUUUAAAACGUCGUGAGACAGUUUGGUCCCUAUCUGCCGUGGGCGCUGGAUAUUUGAAGGGGGCUGCUCCUAGUACGAGAGGACCGGAGUGGACGAACCUCUGGUGUACCGGUUGUCACGCCAGUGGCAUCGCCGGGUAGCUAUGUUCGGAAGAGAUAACCGCUGAAAGCAUCUAAGCGGGAAACUCGCCUUAAGAUGAGAUAUCCCCGGGGCUUCGAGCCCCUUGAAGGGUCGUUCGAGACCAGGACGUUGAUAGGUCAGGUGUGGAAGCGCAGUAAUGCGUUAAGCUAACUGAUACUAAUUGCCCGUAAGGCUUGA
RNAcentral lists this ribosomal RNA (1631 nucleotides) under metagenome. Its description in RNAcentral is "bacterial LSU rRNA". It matches the Rfam family "Bacterial large subunit ribosomal RNA", at positions 1294 to 2925 of the family's 2925-position model. The record is from RNAcentral.